CCUGGUUUUAAAGUUUCAUUUUAAACUAGCACUACAUUGUUAACUAAAGGCAUUGGUCACAUAAGCCUGAAAACAUGAAACUCUGCUACAAUGGACAGCAUCUCUAACAAGCUUUCUUACAAAACUAGCAUUCAAGAUUUACAUAUAUGGCUGGUGUGAAGACCGUACACCAGCACCCAUAUAACUGCCAUAAUUAGGAGCUGCAUCAUAUGACCCAGNNNGUAGUCCUGUCAUCCUGAGGAUAGUAGUACAUUCUUUGAUCAGUAGCUGGCUGGCCAUAAC
RNAcentral lists this unclassified non-coding RNA (282 nucleotides) under Hevea brasiliensis (rubber tree). Lineage: Eukaryota; Viridiplantae; Streptophyta; Magnoliopsida; Malpighiales; Euphorbiaceae. The record is from RNAcentral.